GACGAACGCUGGCGGCGUGCUUAAUACAUGCAAGUCGAACGGAAAGGCCCUGCGUUUGUGGGGUGCUCGAGUGGCGAACGGGUGAGUAACACGUGAGUAACCUGCCCUUGACUGUGUGAUAACUUCAGGAAACUGGGGCGAAUACCGGAUAGGAGCUCUUGCUGCAUGGGGGGGGUUGGAAAGUGUCGGCGGUUGGGGAUGGACUCGAGGCUUAUCAGCUGGUUGGUGGGGUAGUGGCUUACCAGGGCUUUGACGGGUAGCCGGCCUGAGAGGGUGACCGGCCACAUUGGGACUGCGAUACGGACCAGACUCCUACGGGAGGCAGCAGUGGGGAAUAUUACGGAAUGGCCGGGAGCGUGAUACGGCAACGCCGCGUGCGGGAUAACGGGCUUCGAGUUGUAAACAGAUGUCGCCGGUGAUGUAGCGGGAGUGACGGUAAUGGGUAAAGAAGCCCCGGCUAACUACGUG
RNAcentral lists this ribosomal RNA (468 nucleotides) under uncultured bacterium. RNAcentral's name for it is "partial 16S ribosomal RNA". It matches the Rfam family "Bacterial small subunit ribosomal RNA", at positions 28 to 507 of the family's 1533-position model. The record is from RNAcentral.